AGAGAAGAACCCAGAACUGAUACCUCCGACAAGCUGUUUCGUCCAUCCUCAAAUUUAACAGCUGACACAAUCACAAUGGCUACACCCGUGGACAUCUCUCGCCACCUUCACUGCCCCAUCUGCAAAACCCUGCUAGCGGAUCCGGUCUCAACCACCUGUGGACACACCUUCUGCAAGGGCUGUCUGGACAAGCACAUCAGCGUGUCCGAGCCACAGUGCCCUCUCUGCCAGGAGCCUGUUACCACCAAACCUUCUGUGAACGAAGCGAUCGAAGCCCUCCUGCGAGAGUUUCACCAGACUCAGUUACCCAACCUAGACCUCUUCUGUGGAGAAAGAGACGCGAUUCCGUGUGACGUCUGUGAUGAACACAUCACAUUUAAAGCCGUGAAGUCCUGCCUGAUCUGUCUUCUGUCAUUCUGCGAUGAACACCUGAAGCCUCACCAGUCUAUGGCGAGAUUCAAGUGCCAUAAGCUGGUGAAUCCUGUAGAGAAGUUGGAUCAGAGAGCGUGCAAUACGCACGGCAGACCUCUUUAGCUCUACUGCAGACGUGACGAGUGCUGCAUCUGUGCCUUAUGUGUGAAGACGGGUGGAGAUGUGAUACCUGUGGAGACAGAGAGAGAGAGGAGACAGGCCAUGCAGCAAAACACUAUUGAGGUGAUGGAAAGGAUGAUCAAUCAGAGGGAAGACAAACUUAAGGAGCUUAAGGAAUCAG
Sinocyclocheilus anshuiensis is the source of this 712-nucleotide long non-coding RNA. RefSeq lists it as uncharacterized. Lineage: Eukaryota; Metazoa; Chordata; Actinopteri; Cypriniformes; Cyprinidae. The transcript has 3 exons. The record is from RefSeq and is a predicted model, not a curated record.